UACGGAGGGGGCUAGCGUUGCUCGGAAUUACUGGGCGUAAAGGGCUCGUAGGCGGUCUGAUAAGUCCUGUGUGAAAUCCCCUGGCUUAACCAGGGAACUGCGCCGGAUACUGUCGGACUAGAGGCCGGGAGAGGGAAGCGGAAUUCCCAGUGUAGCGGUGAAAUGCGUAGAUAUUGGGAGGAACACCGGUGGCGUAGGCGGCUUCCUGGACCGGUUCUGACGCUGAUGAGCGAAAGCUAGGGUAGCAAACAGG
RNAcentral lists this ribosomal RNA (253 nucleotides) under uncultured bacterium. RNAcentral describes it as "partial 16S ribosomal RNA". It matches the Rfam family "Bacterial small subunit ribosomal RNA", at positions 524 to 776 of the family's 1533-position model. The record is from RNAcentral.